This is a non-coding RNA of Lactuca sativa (garden lettuce), 598 nucleotides long. NCBI's taxonomy places the organism in Eukaryota, Viridiplantae, Streptophyta, Magnoliopsida, Asterales, Asteraceae. The record is from RefSeq and is a predicted model, not a curated record.
UUCCACAAGAACUUGGGGGGUUGAGCCAGAUUCGCGCUUUAAACCUGUCUCACAAUCAGCUGACUGGACCCAUUCCAGUGAGCUUCUCAAAUCUUGCAAAUAUAGAAAGCUUGGACCUUUCUUCAAACAGUUUGACCGGAAAAGUUCCGUCAGAACUGAUUCAGAUCAAUUUUCUAUCUUUUUUCGAUGUGUUUCACAACAAUUUGUCGGGUAGACUCCCAGAAAUGAAAGGACAGUUUAGUACCUUUACAAAAGCGAGCUACCAAGGCAAUCCACUUCUUUGUGGACCACCACUAGACAAUAGAUGCAUAACUCAGUCGCAGGCUUCUAAAGAAGAAAAACGCACUGAGAAAUGAUGGUAGCUAAACUCGGUUGAAGAGUGUAUGUAUGCAUGCUGUUACUUCAUUUAUGAUUCACUAAGAAAGCCUUGUAUGAUCUUCCGCAAGUAGGACCUCGUGUUACAUUAUAAACAUCAACUUACUUUUGUAUCGAUCUGAAUUUUUCUGUUUGAUAUAUGUAUGAUGAUGAUGCACAAUAAUACCCUAGUAGUGAGAUUAUAAGUGGGUAUGUUGUUGCUUGCAGUCUGUUAGGAGUUAAA